AUUGAACGCUGGCGGCAUGCUUUACACAUGCAAGUCGAACGGUAACAGGCCUUCGGGCGCUGACGAGUGGCGAACGGGUGAGUAAUGCAUCGGAACGUGCCCAGUCGUGGGGGAUAACGCAGCGAAAGCUGUGCUAAUACCGCAUACGAUCUGCGGAUGAAAGCGGGGGACCGUUCGGGCCUCGCGCGAUUGGAGCGGCCGAUGUCAGAUUAGGUAGUUGGUAGGGUAAAGGCUCACCAAGCCAACGAUCUGUAGCUGGUCUGAGAGGACGACCAGCCACACUGGAACUGAGACACGGUCCAGACUCCUACGGGAGGCAGCAGUGGGGAAUUUUGGACAAUGGACGCAAGUCUGAUCCAGCCAUUCCGCGUGCAGGAUGAAGGCCCUCGGGUUGUAAACUGCUUUGUACGGAACGAAAAGGACUCUGGUUAAUACCUGGGGCUCAUGACGGUACCGUAAGAAUAAGCACCGGCUAACUACGUGCCAGCAGCCG
Molecule: ribosomal RNA, 493 nt
Filed under: uncultured bacterium
Lineage: Bacteria
Description: bacterial SSU rRNA
Rfam family: Bacterial small subunit ribosomal RNA
Source: RNAcentral